CCAAUAGCGUAUAUUAAAGUUGUUGCGGUUAAAAAGCUCGUAGUUGAAUUUCGGGGUUAGUAGGUUGGUCAUGCCUCUGGUAUGUACUGGUCUCACUGAUUCCUCCUUCCUGAUGAACCUUAAUGCCAUUAAUUUGGUGUUUUGGGGAAUUUGGACUGUUACUUUGAAAAAAUUAGAGUGUUUAAAGCAAGCUAACGCUUGAAUACAUUAGCAUGGAAUAAUGAAAUAGGACGUUCGAUCCUAUUUUGUUGGUUUCUAGGAUUGACGUAAUGAUUAAUAGGGAUAGUUGGGGGCAUUAGUAUUCAAUUGUCAGAGGUGAAAUUCUUGGAUUUAUUGAAGACUAACUACUGCGAAAGCAUUUGCCAAGGAUGUUUUCAUUAAUCAAGAACGAAAGUUAGGGGAUCGAAGACGAUCAGAUACCGUCGUAGUCUUAACCAUAAACUAUGCCGACUAGGGAUCGGAUGAUGUUAAUUUUUUAAUGACUCAUUCGGCGCCUUACG
Molecule: ribosomal RNA, 500 nt
Filed under: uncultured Glomeromycotina
Lineage: Eukaryota; Fungi; Glomeromycota
Description: partial small subunit ribosomal RNA
Rfam family: Eukaryotic small subunit ribosomal RNA
Source: RNAcentral